RNAcentral lists this ribosomal RNA (253 nucleotides) under uncultured bacterium. RNAcentral describes it as "partial 16S ribosomal RNA". It matches the Rfam family "Bacterial small subunit ribosomal RNA", at positions 524 to 776 of the family's 1533-position model. The record is from RNAcentral.
UACGUAGGGGGCAAGCGUUGUCCGGAAUCAUUGGGCGUAAAGAGCGUGUAGGCGGCCCGGUAAGUCCGCUGUGAAAGUCCAGGGCUCAACCCUGGGAUGCCGGUGGAUACUGUCGGGCUCGAGUCCGGAAGAGGAGUGUGGAAUUCCUGGUGUAGCGGUGAAAUGCGCAGAUAUCAGGAGGAACACCCGUAGCGAAGGCGGCACUCUGGGCCGAUACUGACACUGAGGAGCGAAAGCGUGGGGAGCGAACAGG